CCUACGGGAGGCAGCAGUAGGGAAUCUUCGUCAAUGGGCGCAAGCCUGAACGAGCAAUGCCGCGUGAACGAGGAAGGUCUUCGGAUCGUAAAGUUCUGUUGACGGGGAAAAAGAGCGGAGAGAGGAAAUGCUUUCUGAUUGAUAUUACCCUUCGAGGCAGUCACGGCUAACUACGUGCCAGCAGCCGCGGUAAUACGGCGGUGGCGAGCGUUAUCCGGAAUGGUUGGGCGUAAAGGGUGCGUAGGCGGCCUGCUAAGUCUGGAGUGAAAGGUACCGGCUCAACCGGUACAGGAUCUGGAAACUGGCGGGCUAGAGAGCAGGAGAGGGCGGUGGAACUCCAUGUGUAGCGGUAAAAUGCGUAGAUAUAUGGAAGAACACCAGUGGCGAAGGCGGCCGACUGGACUGUGACUGACGCUGAGGCACGAAAGCGUGGGGAGCAAAUAGGAUUAGAUACCCGGGUAGUC
RNAcentral lists this ribosomal RNA (464 nucleotides) under uncultured bacterium. RNAcentral's name for it is "partial 16S ribosomal RNA". It matches the Rfam family "Bacterial small subunit ribosomal RNA", at positions 338 to 795 of the family's 1533-position model. The record is from RNAcentral.